GGCGCCGCUUACAAUCGGUUGAGCUCGGAUCA
RNAcentral lists this ribosomal RNA (32 nucleotides) under Paragyromitra infula. Its description in RNAcentral is "Gyromitra infula partial 28S ribosomal RNA". The record is from RNAcentral. Lineage: Eukaryota; Fungi; Ascomycota; Pezizomycetes; Pezizales; Discinaceae.